Lemur catta (Ring-tailed lemur) is the source of this 3476-nucleotide long non-coding RNA. RefSeq lists it as uncharacterized. The record is from RefSeq and is a predicted model, not a curated record. The transcript is spliced from 3 exons. Lineage: Eukaryota; Metazoa; Chordata; Mammalia; Primates; Lemuridae.
AGAAAAAGAUGGAAAUAAGAAACAAAAACAAAAACUGAAAAGAGAAGACUGUUAACUAUUAUUCUCAAGAAAGAAAUCUGUAACAGACCAUUUGUGGACAACAAGGCAGGUCCUGGAGGAGGAGUCAUGACUGAAAGAUGGAUCCUGACUCUGCCCUUCGCGGCCCCUGGUUCCACCUUCCACUGAGCUCGCUGUGUUCCAGUUACUCCGGUUGCUCUAGGCUCCCCCAGACUGUGGGCCCCACCCCGGACUCGCUUAUGUGGCCAGACUCGGAAAGUGAUGGACAGCCUAAAGGAAGAAACCACGGCAUCAUCCAAAGGAGGAGCAGCACAGACCACAAAAAGAGCCCAUAACAUGCUGGUGCCCGAGUCAGGAAUGCCAACUAGAGAUAAGUCAAAGUAGAGAUCCUGGGGGUGGGGGAUAUGGUAAUGGGCUGGGCCCAGAGCCCUUCUCUGCUGAGGAGCCACAAAGGAAUGGAGAGUGGACGAGACCUGGCAUGCAAAAGGAAGAGACGGAGGAACUGGGAAGCAGCUGCCACCUGCUGUGUAACCUGGGCUUGGCUGGCACAGGCUGGCCUGGUCCCUUCUCUGUGUAGUAGGAUGUGGGCUACCACAAGAAUGCGGGCAACGCUGUGUGUCAGAGUAGAAAACUCUGAAUUCCUCAGCACAUGAGGGAAGUUUACUCAGCCCAGCGGAGGUAAUCAUACUUCACUAUGGAAUGAGGCCUUCACACAUGUCCACCAUGUUUGGGCACCUGGGCAGGGGGAGGGUUCCCUCUGCCUGGAGUGGGAUAAGGGGCAGGGAGAGCCACAAAGAGGAGCUGAUUCUCCAGACCCAUCUGAUCUGCUCUUGGACACUAGGUGGGAUGAGAAGGGAGGGCAAAAAACAUACUGAGCUCUCACAAGGGUCUAGGUGCUGGCUAGGCACUUUCCAGAAAGUUUCCUUCCAGGAAGAAGAGCCACACAAAGGUCUAGAGAUGGGAAAAUAUAAUGGUGUGUCUGGUUUUCUUUCUCCUCUUAAAGAUGCCCUUUAAAGCUACUGGAGGCACUGGGCCAGGCACCACCAGCUAGGAGGAACGUUUUGUCCAUUCCUACUCCCCUGUUAAUGUAGAAAAGCCCAUUACAUAUGAACCAUUUAUUUUUAUUUCUAAGAAUUUACCCCAGAGCAGUAAUCAGAGAUGUAUGUCAAUAUAUAUUCACAGUGCUCAAAAACAGGAAACCAAAUGGUCAACCACGAAAGUUUGGUUAAAAUACUAUGUAGUCAUCAAAAAGCAUGUUUCAAAAAAUUAGUUCAUGGCAUGGAAAUAGCUACACCCCAUAUAAAUGAAAAAAAAACAGGUUAUAAAAGAAUAUGAUUCCAACUUUGAAAAAAAGUAUAAUACACUUUUAAAAGAAUGAAAGUAAAUAUAAUGUUCACAGAGUCUGUCUCUGUGUGGUGGGAUUAUAGGAGGUAACCUUCAUCCUUGUCUAUUUUCUUCUACAAUAAAUGUGUUUUGCUGUUUAAAAAUUUAAUAAAAACACAAUAACUGUUAUUAAAAAAAAACAUACACAAUUGAAAACAGGCCCACAGGGGGUAGGCUCACCUUCUGCAGGAUGGGGCUAGGGCAGAUGUUGUCAAACAGGACUGAGUUGAAGAUCCCAUACACGCCCUCAUCAAGGUGGUACACGACGGUCUUGGGGGCGGAACCGUUUUCCUCUGCAGGGAGGGGAGGGGUCAGGGCAGCACAAGCAGCAGUGUGAGGGGGUGAUAGUGGGGAGCUGGCACGAAUGGAUGACAGGUCUAUGAAGCAAAAGGGCUGGCCCUUCCUCAGCCAUGGGAUGGGCCCUGCAACAGGUGCCACCAACAGCCAUCCUCCUGGUGACAUGGGUUCACUGUCGUGUUGGGAACACUCACCCUUGCAACUGAACAACCCUGCCCAGAACACACUCUCCUGCCUGCCGCUGAGCCCCUAGAUGACCUGGCAAAGGCAGAAGAGCAGCCCACCCAAACUUGGGACCCCAAGAGGUUAAGCCACUCGCUCAGGGGCACACGAUAGGGCAGUAGAUAAGCUGGAAUGAGAAGCCAGGUCUCCUGGUUGGACUAGAUGAGACAAUCCCCAGGUCUAUAAAGGAAGCCAGAAGAAUGCCAUUUCCUACACACACACACACACACACACACACACACACAGAGGACAUUCUUCCUGGAGCCCACCACCCUUCCAUAUGGAUUCUCUGAAGAGGGGCACACAGUCCUGAGGCCCUCCUGUCUGAGGGUCCCAGGGCAGAGAGCAAAGUCAGAGUCCCUCACCCCUCUCGUUCACAGGAACGCUGGGAGGACUGAUCUAUCUGGAAGGGCAGGGAAGAGCUUUGAUGUUAGCAUCGUGGGCCCAGGAGCUCUGAACCAAGUGAGCCCGACAUGAACUUGAAUCCCAGCACUGCCUUUUAUCAGCUGUGUGACCCUGAGCUAGUGACUCAACCUCUCCCUGCCUAUGUUCUGUCAUCUAUAGAGUAGACUUAAACAACCAUAAGUUGUCAUUAAUUAUUUUCAUUACAUUAUGAGAAGCAGUAAGGUUGAGUAAGAGCCUGUAUUUUGGAGACAGACAUGGGGUCAAAUGCAGGCUUUACCUCUUGCUAGCUAUUAAGCAAUUUGCUUGUAUUCUCUUUGGCUCUCAGUUUCUUCAUCUGUAAAAUGGGGUCAAUAAAGUAUCUAUUCUCCCUAAGGUUGUUUUGAUCUCAAUCAUCACAAAAUAUGAACACACCUAGGAAAAAAUAUUCUAAAUAAAUGUCUUGGAGUGAGGGGAUUUGAUUGUAAGUUUCCCUAAAGCAAAGACCCAUUCUCUAGAUUCCCUCACCCCCUGCCACUGAGUCUAAAACCAGACCCGGCUUGGCCAGCAACUGUCCCCAGCUUCAGGGGAGAAUGGGGCUCUGCUGCCGAUCUGGCACCUACCCUCGCUGCCGGGCUGGUGCAGAAGAAUCUCCUUCUUGGCAAUAAUGCUGACUGCGACAGUGAAAGCUGAGGUCACGUAGUAGCGCCCCAGCUCAGCAAGGAUGUCCACGCCACAGCCCUCUGGGAAGUACAGGUCCAAGGCUGAGUUGAUCACAGAAGCAAUCUGGUGGGAGUCGAGUGGGGGACAAUCACGUGUUUGAAAUGUGGGGGUUAUGCUGAAGACUUGCUACAGCUCCAAAUCUAUCUUGAAAGCUUCUUUGAUUUCAGGAAGAAGGACUUGGCAGCUGCUAAGUUAACUGCAGGCAGCUGACCAAGAAGGUAGGAGGGAGGUAGAGCUGGGUCGAGACCCUCAUGCUUGUGUACAUCGCCCUCCUCAAUGCCCCCACAAUGGGAAGGGGCACACUUCUUAUCACAUUUGGUACUCAGAUUCCAGAAGCCCUGAUAUGGAUCUUUCUUUCAUAAAUAACCAAUUUGCUAAAUACAACUGACCCUUGAACAACACAAGCUUGAACUGUGUGGGUCCACUUAUACACAGAUUUUCUUCCACUUCUG